GCGAGUAUAGCAAAUGUCGUCUGGCAUAAUAAGUUUCGCUGGGGUUGAAGGUGUAAAGCACGGAUUAUAAUCGCCCUCGGGCAAAUUUUUUGACUCUGGCCUCAAAUCAGGUAGGACUACCCGCUGAANUUAAGCAUAUCAAUAAGCGGAGGAAAAGAAACUAACAAGGAUUCCCCUAGUAGCGGCGAGUGAAGCGGGAAGAGCUCAAAUUUGUAAUCUGGCGUCUUUCAGGCGUCCGAGUUGUAAUCUAUAGAAGUGUUUUCCGUGCUGGACCAUGUCCAAGUCCCUUGGAACAGGGUAUCAAAGAGGGUGACAAUCCCGUACUUGAUAUGGCCACCAGUGCUCUGUGAUACACUUUCUACGAGUCGAGUUGUUUGGGAAUGCAGCUCAAAAUGGGUGGUAAAUUCCAUCUAAAGCUAAAUAUUGGCGAGAGACCGAUAGCGAACAAGUACCGUGAGGGAAAGAUGAAAAGCACUUUGGAAAGAGAGUUAAACAGUACGUGAAAUUGUUGAAAGGGAAACGAUUGAAGUCAGUCGUGUUCAUUGGACUCAGCCGGUUCUUCCGGUCUAUUUCCUUUGAACGGGUCAACAUCAGUUUUGUCCGGUGGAUAAAGGCAGAGAGAAAGUGGCUCCCUCGGGAGUGUUAUAGCUUUUUGUCACAUACACUGGAGGAGACUGAGGACUGCAGCUCGCCUUUUGGCCGGGG
This 705-nucleotide ribosomal RNA is filed under the name Vanrija albida. RNAcentral describes it as "eukaryotic LSU rRNA". The stretch from base 97 to 705 matches the Rfam family "Eukaryotic large subunit ribosomal RNA", at positions 1 to 623 of the family's 3401-position model. Lineage: Eukaryota; Fungi; Basidiomycota; Tremellomycetes; Trichosporonales; Trichosporonaceae. The record is from RNAcentral.